This 429-nucleotide ribosomal RNA is filed under the name Chloroflexota bacterium. RNAcentral describes it as "Chloroflexi bacterium partial 16S ribosomal RNA". It matches the Rfam family "Bacterial small subunit ribosomal RNA", at positions 355 to 776 of the family's 1533-position model. Lineage: Bacteria; Bacillati; Chloroflexota. The record is from RNAcentral.
UGGGGAAUAUUGCACAAUGGGCGCAAGCCUGAUGCAGCCAUGCCGCGCGUGUGAAGAAGGCCUUCGGGUUGUAAAGCACUUUCAGCGGGGAGGAAGGCGUUAAGGUUAAUAACCUUGGCGAUUGACGUUACCCGCAGAAGAAGCACCGGCUAACUCCGUGCCAGCAGCCGCGGUAAUACGGAGGGUGCAAGCGUUAAUCGGAAUUACUGGGCGUAAAGCGCACGCAGGCGGUCUGUCAAGUCGGAUGUGAAAUCCCCGGGCUCAACCUGGGAACUGCAUUCGAAACUGGCAGGCUAGAGUCUUGUAGAGGGGGGUAGAAUUCCAGGUGUAGCGGUGAAAUGCGUAGAGAUCUGGAGGAAUACCGGUGGCGAAGGCGGCCCCCUGGACAAAGACUGACGCUCAGGUGCGAAAGCGUGGGUAGCAAGCAGG